Molecule: ribosomal RNA, 1404 nt
Filed under: uncultured bacterium
Lineage: Bacteria
Description: bacterial SSU rRNA
Rfam family: Bacterial small subunit ribosomal RNA
Source: RNAcentral
AGAGGUUCCUUUUGGGUCAGGAUGAACGCUGGCGGCGUGCCUAAUACAUGCAAGUCGAACGAACAAGAUUAGCUAAGCUUGCUUAGCUAAUUGCGUUAGUGGCGAACGGGUGAGUAAUACAUAAAUAACCUGCCCCUAUGUUUGGAAUAACAGUUGGAAACGACUGCUAAUGCCAGAUACGUUAUCAAGUGGCAUCACAUGAUAAUAAAAGAUCCUUCUGGGAUCGCAAAGGGAUGGAUUUAUGGCGCAUUAGUUAGUUGGUGAGGUAACGGCUCACCAAGACGAUGAUGCGUAGCCGGCCUGAGAGGGUGACCGGCCACACUGGGACUGAGACACGGCCCAGACUCCUACGGGAGGCAGCAGUAGGGAAUUUUCGGCAAUGGGGGAAACCCUGACCGAGCGACGCCGCGUGAGUGAAGACGGCCUUCGGGUUGUAAAGCUCUGUUGUAAGGGAAGAACCGUAGUGAUAGGAAAUGAUCACUACCUGACGGUACCUUACCUAGAAAGCCACGGCUAACUACGUGCCAGCAGCCGCGGUAAUACGUAGGUGGCGAGCGUUAUCCGGAAUUAUUGGGCGUAAAGGGAGCGCAGGCGGUUUAUUAAGUCUGAGGUUAAAGUUCGGGGCUCAACCCCGUGAUGCCUUAGAAACUGGUAGACUAGAGUGCAGGAGAGGUUAGUGGAAUUCCAUGUGUAGCGGUAAAAUGCGUAGAUAUAUGGAGGAACACCAGUGGCGAAGGCGGCUAACUGGCCUGUAACUGACGCUGAGGCUCGAAAGCGUGGGGAGCAAAGGGGAUUAGAUACCCCAGUAGUCCACGCCGUAAACUAAAAUGACUAGGUGGUGGAGUAGGCCUUCAGUGCCGUAGUUAACGCAAUAAGAAAUCCGCCUGGGGAGUAUGCGCGCAAGCGUAAAACUCAAAGGAAUUGACGGGGACCCGCACACGCGGUGGAGUAUGUGGUUUAAUUCGAUGCAACGCGAAGAACCUUACCUGGUCUUGACAUAUAUUUAAAAAGCUUAGAGAUAAGUAAUAGUUAUAGAUAUACAGGUGGUGCAUGGUUGUCGUCAGCUCGUGUCGUGAGAUGUUGGGUUAAGUCCCGUAACGAGCGCAACCCCUAUCUUUAGUUACCAUCAUUAAGUUGGGGACUCUAAAGAGACUGCCGGUGAUAAACCGGAGGAAGGUGGGGAGGACGUCAAAUCAUCAUGCCCCCUAUGAUCAGGGCUACACACGUACUACAAUGGCAUAUACAAAGGGCAGCUACACAGCGAUGUGAUGCGAAUCUCAUAAAGUAUGUCUCAGUUCGGAUUGGAGUCUGCAACUCGACUCCAUGAAGCAGGAAUCGCUAGUAAUCGUGGAUCAGAAUGCCACGGUGAAUACGUUCUCGGGUCUUGCACACACCGCCCGUCAA